UACAGAGGAGCCAAGCGUUGUCCGGAUUGACUGGGCGUAAAGCGCACGCAGGCGGCAUCGCGCGUGGGGUGUGAAAUCUGGCCGCUUAACGGCCAGGCGCCAUCCCAUACGGCGAGGCUGGAGCGAUGCAGAGGUCGGUGGAAUUGCCGGUGUAGCGGUGAAAUGCGUAGAUAUCGUAAGGAAGACCAGUGGCGAAGGCGGGUCUCUGGACAGUUCCUGACGCUGAGGCACGAAGGUCAGGGGAGCAAACGGG
This 253-nucleotide ribosomal RNA is filed under the name uncultured bacterium. RNAcentral's name for it is "partial 16S ribosomal RNA". It matches the Rfam family "Bacterial small subunit ribosomal RNA", at positions 524 to 776 of the family's 1533-position model. The record is from RNAcentral.